GGUAAAAUGACUGAGAUUUAGGUGAUAGAUUGUAAAUCUAUAAACGGGGGAUGCCUCCUUUUACU
RNAcentral lists this transfer RNA (65 nucleotides) under Claassenia sp. 2 YNX-2023a. Its description in RNAcentral is "tRNA-Tyr". It matches the Rfam family "tRNA". From Rfam's summary of the family: Transfer RNA (tRNA) molecules are approximately 80 nucleotides in length. Their secondary structure includes four short double-helical elements and three loops (D, anti-codon, and T loops). Further hydrogen bonds mediate the characteristic L-shaped molecular structure. tRNAs have two regions of fundamental functional importance: the anti-codon, which is responsible for specific mRNA codon recognition, and the 3' end, to which the tRNAs corresponding amino acid is attached (by aminoacyl-tRNA synthetases). tRNAs cope with the degeneracy of the genetic code in two manners: having more than one tRNA (with a specific anti-codon) for a particular amino acid; and 'wobble' base-pairing, i.e. permitting non-standard base-pairing at the 3rd anti-codon position. Lineage: Eukaryota; Metazoa; Arthropoda; Insecta; Plecoptera; Perlidae. The record is from RNAcentral.